Poecile atricapillus (Black-capped chickadee) is the source of this 3862-nucleotide long non-coding RNA. RefSeq lists it as uncharacterized. The record is from RefSeq and is a predicted model, not a curated record. NCBI's taxonomy places the organism in Eukaryota, Metazoa, Chordata, Aves, Passeriformes, Paridae. The transcript is spliced from 2 exons.
CUAAUCUUAUUUCCCUUGGAAGGUGAAGCAUAAUCCCUGCUCCAGAAAACAGGGAGUACUGUAUAAAUCAAGUAAUACAGUGCUGUUGGCUAGGUAUUAGUAACGUGAUGUCUUGUGAGAUUUCUUUUUCAGUGAUGAAUCACUGUCCAUAUAUUUGCAGUGAGAUUCUGACAGCAGUAAGUCUUAAGGUUGUAUCAAUUCAUUUGGUAUGUUCUCUGAGCAAGAGAGAGUUCAAGGGGGAAUGUGUGGUUUCUAGGUACUUGGAUCUAUGUAUGCUAAUAUAAAAUCCUUAUGGCAGUUUGUUGAGUAGAUUCUUACAGGGAAUUUAAUUCAAAGACAAGCAGUUAGACAAUCAUGCAAAUACACAAGUUUAAUGUAGGCUGACUGGUCUCAAGCAUUGCUUUCACAUUUUCACGCUCUGUAAGUUUUAUAUGAACUUGACUGAAUUAUGUUUUUCUGUCUUUGAAAGACGUUCAUGAGACUAGCAAUUAAGAAAAUUAAUUGUGUCUGGUGGUUUGUCUAGGUAUUUAAUUGCCUUUCAGGAACUGAGUAUCAAUUUGCUUCAAAAUUGUUUAGGAAAGAAUUGAUUCCUCCUGUUUCUGUAGUUAGCACGACAGACAGAAAGAGUUCUUGUCUGUAACUAUUGAUUUUUUUCUUAAUUGUUUGAACAGCCAUUGAUCUGGAUUUUGCUAUGGAAUCAGCAUCUGAGGCUUCAGAGCCCCAUAACACAGCACAGAGAAAGGUUUGAUAAAGGGAUGAUACCUGUCUAGCUUGUGUUAGUGAUGCUGCAUUAUUAUGAAGUCAAGACAGAAAAAUCAAUUUUCUGUUUUCAAGAAAAUACUAGUGGAAAUUACAGAAGCUGUUACACUGGAAAAUUGCAGAAGCUGUUACAGCACACUAUUGUUGCAGGUGUGACAGCAGAUUAGAACUAAAACACUGGAAAGAAGCACACUUCCUGAGCUGCUUGCCUUUAUUUUGCACACAAGCAUGAGAAUGAGUUAUGGCUAGAAAAAUAAUUUCUUCUCCAGGUUCUUGCAUAACUAUGUAAACAAAAGUUUUGUAAAAGAUUCUUCUUUCUUAUCAUCUUAUGGGUAAGAGGUAGGUAAAAGGAAAGCUUUACUGUGCCUAAAAGAAAAUGAUGGGAAUCUAGGCCUUGAGUGGUGGAGUUACUUAACCUUAUGUCAGAAUAUAUUAAACUUUAUGUUCUUCUGUUGCUUUAACUAGAGCGGCUAGCUCACUGAAAGUAGCACUACUUAGAGUACUUAUUGCUUAAAAGAGAUGCUGAAGGUAACUCAUAAAAAAUACUUCAAAUAUUUCAAUGUAUUAAAGUAUUUAAAAAAAAAAGUUUCAAUGUACUGCAGAGCCCUUCCUCUGAUAUUUUGGAUAACAGUCCUCUUUUGCAUUGAGAAUAAGACUUUGGAGAGGCUGGUGAAGAAGGCUAAGCUAACUUCCUUUUAGGCCAAGUGGUAGUGAGUGGUAAUAAUGCCAAUAGUAGACGUCAGAAUAGUUGAUCAUCAUUAUGAUAAACCUCUGAGGCCAUACUGACUUCUAGGACUGAAGUGACAAAAUGGUUUUUGUAUUUAUCUUCAAACUACCCAGCCUUUCCUUUUGUAAGCUGUAGUAAAUGUGGAGGGCAUUGGUGCUAGCUUUCUAUUUCUGGCAAGCUUGGGUGUUGUAUCUUCUGUGAAUUUAAGGCAGCUGGUAUGAGUUAUCCUCUCCAGACUCUUCCAGACUCUAAAAAAUAAUCUGUGUUGCUGUAUGAAAGUUCAUUAUUACCAUAUUGUCAGCAUGUGUUGCAGAACUGUAGAUGUUUGGGCGUGUUCAUUGCAACAGUGCCCUUAAAAAUAAGAGUUUAUCUCAAGUUCAAAAGCAAUCAGCAAGGAGUAUGGAUCAUUACCAACUGAGAUGGUUCUAAAUAUGUGAAUUUUAACUUGAGGAGAUACAAUACUGUGAUAGAAUUGGAUGGACUCUGAAACCAGUAGGAGUGUCCUCACUGUUCAUGGCUUCUGAAAAUGUUAUGAUGCCACUAUCAGUAUUUAGGCUUUUUCUGUGUGAAGGUUAUGAAAUUGCAUGUUUCUGUGAACAGAAAAAUCUGAUACACAACUAGCAUUGAUUACUGAUAUGAAGGCUGGCAAACAGGUAGUUUUUCUACACUUCAUACUUAAUUAUAAAAAUACAAAGACUGGAGAGCUGAAAUGAAGGAAUGUUUGACUAUUGGUCUUGUUCCAGUUAGCACACUUGCAUUGGCAGAUGACAGCACGCUGGUACAGUUCUGUUUCCUCUUCUGCCUGUGAUAUGCUCAGUCAGCAUGCUGACUCUUCAGCUUAAUUGCAAGUUCUAGGGAGCUCAGAACAGAUGGGAAAUUUGUUCUAAUAUUGCUAAUGCUUCUGACCCGGGUGCCCUCUAGAAACACUUAGAUCAGUGUCUGUUUCUUUGUUCAGCGGCUGUUUCUUUGCAGAACAAAAAUGGCCCUUAGACAAACCUGUGUAUUUCAUCUCAGGCACAGCUUUAAGCAGUGAUGUUCCUUUCACCUGAGCAGACUACCAACCUCAGUAGUGAAGACUAUAAGGAAUGUUUUUUUGGUGUGACAAGAAAGCUUAAACAUAUUAUUGCUGUUCUUGGAAGCAUCCUCAUGAUUUAUAAGCUCUCUCACCCACCUGGUCACUUUAGUCUUUGUGAAGGCCUCCUGUACCUUACAGAGAAUUAAAAAUCUGAUAAAGUAGCAACCAUCUCUCAGUUAUGGGAGUCCAGUUAUAAAAUACCAGUUUCUCAUAGUGGAAAAGCUUUUUUUUCGUGAGUCUUCCCCUGCAAAAGUUAGUAACUAUGUUCUUGGGGACUAGUAUCCUCCAACUUAACUGCCAUUCUUGAAGUGAUGAGUAUACAGUUCUCUACAUGAUGCGGUUAAUGAUUGCUCUUCAGGGCUCAGAGAUAAAGAUGUAAAACACUUGCCUUGUUCCCUGAUAAAGUGCUGUGCAAAACUUCCUGUGUGCCCUUUGCUAGUAGUACUGUGAUACUGGUGCAUAUCUAGCCACAAACAAUAGGAUACAGCAGCAUAACUCGCUUAGUUUUAGGUCAGUCAGCUAUCUUUUUAAGAAGAUGGUGCAAAAUAACUUGAUUUUUCUGCUUACCGUUUGUUGCAGUCACUUUUUUCACUGAGGGAUGUAUUAUGGUGGAAACACUUCUGUGUGAUAGAUUUAUCUGUGGUGGCAUGAGUAACAUGAAUACUUGGUAUAUCACGCAGACAGAUGUCACACUGUGCUGCUCCAGAGAGAUGCCCUGCUGAGAUUUAGCAGUUCUUGAAAAUCUUGGUGUAUUUUAUAGAGUCCAGAGAUUUAAAUAGUUUCAAAAACCUAAAAGUUUGCCUCACAACUGGCAUGUUUUCCCUAUGGAUUUGUUUUAAAAAGAUGAAAUUUUAGGCUUCUUUGGCAAAGAUUUGUACCUGAGCCUGAAGCUCUGUUGGCACUGUCACUUCAGAGAUAAUAAUGCUGCAACUGAAGCAGAAAGCUAUCAAGCAUAUCAUCACAGGUGGUAGCAGAAAGGUGACUUUGCUAGGAAUGUUAGCUAUCUUUUGAGCUAAUUAGGAGAUAACAACAGUAGGAUAAGAAUUACCAGUUGUUGGCUGCAGGAUUCUUAAUCUUCCAGGCAAAUACUAAAAAAAGUGGUAGUCAUCCUUUUAACUUCAGAACAGUUGUAUAGUAAUAAGCUAAGAGGGGGAGGACAAAGUGGGAGUAGCUUUAGAAUGCAGUCUGUAGCAGCUUCUCAGCUUCUUAUGUUGUUAGAAGCAGGAUCUCAUGACGAAGAAAUGACCUGGUAUUUCUGGUUCUGCAGAAUGGUAGCUCCCUUGGUUUUUCAUGCCUGUGCA